GACAGGAGUGCCGUAGCGUUAGGCGGAAUCAGCUGGGCUUAAAGCGUGUGUAGGCGGUAUUUGUAAAGUACCUUGUGAAAUCCCACGGCUCAACCGUGGAACUGCUUGGUAUACUGCUUAUCUUGAGCCACUUAGGGGCAACCGGAACAAACGGUGGAGCGGUGAAAUGCGUAGAUAUCGUUUGGAACGCCAAAGGUGAAAACAGACAGCCUGGGAGUGUGCUGACGCUGAGACACGAAAGCCAGGGGAGGCGAAACGGG
This 260-nucleotide ribosomal RNA is filed under the name uncultured bacterium. RNAcentral describes it as "partial 16S ribosomal RNA". It matches the Rfam family "Bacterial small subunit ribosomal RNA", at positions 524 to 776 of the family's 1533-position model. The record is from RNAcentral.